Molecule: ribosomal RNA, 601 nt
Filed under: uncultured bacterium
Lineage: Bacteria
Description: bacterial SSU rRNA
Rfam family: Bacterial small subunit ribosomal RNA
Source: RNAcentral
CGCUGAGGCGCGAAAGUGUGGGGAGCAAACAGGAUUAGAUACCCUGGUAGUCCACACUGUAAACGAUGAAUGCUAGGUGUAGGGGGUAUCGACCCCUUCUGUGCCGCAGUUAACACAAUAAGCAUUCCGCCUGGGGAGUACGGCCGCAAGGUUGAAACUCAAAGGAAUUGACGGGGGCCCGCACAAGCAGCGGAGCAUGUGGUUUAAUUCGACGCAACGCGAAGAACCUUACCAGGUCUUGACAUCCAGUAAAAGCCAUAGAGAUAUGGUGUGAGCUUGCUCAUACUGAGACAGGUGGUGCAUGGUUGUCGUCAGCUCGUGUCGUGAGAUGUUGGGUUAAGUCCCGCAACGAGCGCAACCCUUAUUUUCAGUUACUAACGCGUAGAGGCGAGGACUCUGAAGAGACUGCCGGGGACAACUCGGAGGAAGGUGGGGACGACGUCAAAUCAUCAUGCCCCUUAUGACCUGGGCUACACACGUGCUACAAUGGCCACCACAGAGAGGAGCGAACCUGCGAGGGGGAGCGGAUCUCAAAAAAGUGGUCCCAGUUCGGAUUGUGGGCUGCAACCCGCCCACAUGAAGUCGGAGUGCUAGUAAUCGC